This 468-nucleotide ribosomal RNA is filed under the name uncultured bacterium. Its description in RNAcentral is "partial 16S ribosomal RNA". It matches the Rfam family "Bacterial small subunit ribosomal RNA", at positions 28 to 507 of the family's 1533-position model. The record is from RNAcentral.
GACGAACGCUGGCGGCGUGCUUAACACAUGCAAGUCGAACGGAAAGGCCCUGCUUUCGUGGGGUGCCCGAGUGGCGAACGGGUGCGUAACACGUGAGUAACCUGCCCUUGACUUUGGGAUAAGUUCAGGAAACUGGGGUUAAUACCGGAUAGGAGCCCCUGCUGCAUGGUGGGGGUUGGAAAGUCUCGGCGGUUGGGGAUGGACUCGCGGCUUAUCAGCUUGUUGGUGGGGUAGUGGCUUACCAAGGCUUUGACGGGUAGCCGGCUUGUGAGGGUGACCGGCCUCAUUGGGACUGAGGUACGGCCCAGACUCCUACGGGAGGCAGCAGUGGGGAAUAUUGCACAAUGGGCGGAAGCGUGAUGCAGCAACGCCGCGUGCGGGAUGACGGCCUUCGGGUUGUAAACCGCUUUCGCCUGUGACGAAGCGUGAGUGACGGUAAUGGGUAAAGAAGCACCGGCUAACUACGUG